RNAcentral lists this ribosomal RNA (429 nucleotides) under uncultured Enterobacteriaceae bacterium. RNAcentral describes it as "bacterial SSU rRNA". It matches the Rfam family "Bacterial small subunit ribosomal RNA", at positions 355 to 774 of the family's 1533-position model. The record is from RNAcentral. Lineage: Bacteria; Pseudomonadati; Pseudomonadota; Gammaproteobacteria; Enterobacterales; Enterobacteriaceae.
UGGGGAAUAUUGCACAAUGGGCGCAAGCCUGAUGCAGCCAUGCCGCGUGUAUGAAGAAGGCCUUCGGGUUGUAAAGUACUUUCAGCGGGGAGGAAGGUGUUGAGGUUAAUAACCUCAGCAAUUGACGUUACCCGCAGAAGAAGCACCGGCUAACUCCGUGCCAGCAGACCGCGGUAAUACGGAGGGUGCAAGCGUUAAUCGGAAUUACUGGGCGUAAAGCGCACGCAGGCGGUCUGUUAAGUCAGAUGUGAAAUCCCCGGGCUCAACCUGGGAACUGCAUUUGAAACUGGCAGGCUUGAGUCUUGUAGAGGGGGGUAGAAUUCCAGGUGUAGCGGUGAAAUGCGUAGAGAUCUGGAGGAAUUACCGGUGGCGAAGGCGGCCCCCUGGACAAAGACUGACGCUCAGGUGCGAAAGCGUGGGGAGCAAACA